CUCUGUCGAGGGCCUGAUGCAGGAUCAGGGCGAGGAAGGAG
RNAcentral lists this non-coding RNA (41 nucleotides) under unclassified sequences. The record is from RNAcentral.